ACACAGUGUUCCAUCCAGAGGAUGUAGCAUCAAGGCGUCAUCUUAAAAGCAGAGAAAAGACUCUUACUUGACACCAGAUGCCAGUGCAUUGAUCUUGGACUUCCCAGCCUCUAGAACUAUUUAGUUCAGCCUGGUGUGGAUGCAUUUCAGAAUCUGUGAAAAAUGGAAUCACAAUGCUGUGACAGCAGCAUUUCUGCCUGUGGUAUCUGUGAAGCAGGUAAACAGCCCUGGGACAAAGAACAGACUACGGGUAUUGCCUUCUUAAUCAACAAUAAAGUAUUAGUUGGCUUCCAGGCAGACACCACUGACUUUCAAGAGAAAGGCACGGGAGUAAGGAAGUAAAGAAUUCAGGUGCUGCUUGAAAAUACAACAAACUGUCUUCAGAAUACUUUUAUGUGUUGUUGAAAGAAAGCACUGCAGCUAAUAUAGCUACAAAGGAGAAACAGUUAUUCUUAAAUGUCAUCUAUUUGCUGGACCUGAACAGGAAUUCACUAUGGAGCUCAUACAACUACCACCUUCAGCUAUUAAUCAAGGAGUCAUUCAACUGAGAAAGGGGAGAUUGAGAUGUUGAAUCAUUUCUCAUUCUGUGAAGUCUACCAGAAUAACCCAUAAAGCAAAUAUCAACCUAUUUCAAUUAGAAAAAUGAAAAAUACUGAUACAGCAGACGAAUUCUGGAACUAACACUUCCACAAAUCAUUGAUAAUCCAUUUUCCAACUUCUUCAAAUUCCAGACCAUCAACAAAUGUACUGUUCCAUCUGGAAGUCAAGAUUGGUGCCACCUAAGUGGGUUCCUGCUGCAAGGAACUUAAGGACAUCCUCCUUCAUUUGCAGGACAUCAAGGGCUCCGGACAUUGUGAAAGUUUCCCUUUAAGUUACGACGGGAAUCCAGAACAACGCCGUAUGGACCCCUCUGCAGGUAGCAAGGAAAAGCGCCAGUAACUUUUAAAGGCUUGUUUUGCAUAUUAUUCAGGCCUAAAUCACGGUUCUCAUAAAUUGAUUAUCAUGUCCCUUUCAUCUGUCCAUUUAUGCUUCUAAAUGGUUCUUAAUGGUUCACUAUAUUUGAAGGCCAUAACCAUUUGCUGAUGAGUUACUAGUUUAAUUUGUCACUAUUUCUCCAAUACAUAUAUGUAAGUGCUUAUCGUCUUUUAAUCCUAGAUAUUCUUCUGGAAGUAAUAAUAAAAGUUGAAAGCUGGAAGGAAAAUAA
This 1204-nucleotide long non-coding RNA is filed under the name Homo sapiens (human). RNAcentral's name for it is "long intergenic non-protein coding RNA 1709". The record is from RNAcentral. Lineage: Eukaryota; Metazoa; Chordata; Mammalia; Primates; Hominidae.